GUCGUGGCGGUGGGGUAUGUUUUGUACGGGAUGAG
This 35-nucleotide transfer RNA is filed under the name Fasciola hepatica (liver fluke). RNAcentral describes it as "partial tRNA-Asp". Lineage: Eukaryota; Metazoa; Platyhelminthes; Trematoda; Plagiorchiida; Fasciolidae. The record is from RNAcentral.